CCAUAGGAACACAAGUCAUGCUACAUGCACUUGAUUCUGGAUUCAAAUAAUGAAUGACUUUCAGAUAAGUUUUUGACUAACAUAUUUGUUCCCCGAGUCACACCUCAUGGCUGAAGGAGAAUAUACACAUCUCUCCAGUUCCUUGCAUCCCUCUGAGUUAGCCCUCCCUGCUGCUUAAGCAGAAAUGGGUCAGUAGCAGGGACUCCCUCCAGCACCUGCAAGAAUGAACAUCAGCAGCAACAUAAUUUUAUACCCACUGAUGGUGGCAUUGUUGCCAGCAUAGAAUAAAUCAUAUGCUCUGCAGUGACUGUGCCUAUGUCCUGUUCCUUUCCAGUGCUUGCUGUCUUCCACUGUCACAGCAAGGAUGAUGAACCAGGGUCAGAAGAAUGUGUAUUUCCUUCUGCACAGUUCAUAAAAUAGCUCUGUGACAACUCUCUGAAAUACCAAUAAGAACUCAUUUUCCCCCUGCCUCCAUGUGCUCACGAGUGCAUGAGUAAAUACAAGCUGACAUGUGAUUUGUAUGUGUGCAGCAUUGCGAGGCACUGUUCUCCUUCACGCUGCCAAUCUGUUGCUGUGACCACAUGUCUCAUGAAGAGAGGAACAGCUCAAGAACAGCGCAAGCCUCCCUGAAACACGCAGCACAAACCCAUGGCAGGGUACUACAGGCAUCCUGCUGGGAACCACAAACAUCCUUGUCCAUUCACAGGGAUCAAAACCCACCUCAACAACAUAUUUUCAGAGGGAAAACAAUCAGCCUCAGAAGGAGAAGUGGAAGGCCAACAGACUGAGUCCAAUCUUUGCCAAAAUUGGUGAACAAAGAUGCUCGUAUAUGGCCCUGUGACGAGGAUGGCAGCUCCUCUCAUCUCCCUCCAGCUCUGUGUGGCCACACAAGGGUUGCACUGCCCAUCCCUUCACACCAACAACCAGCAUUAAUUGGAUGCAAACCUAUGGAGGGAGCAUCAUGGAGGGGAAGUUAGAGGAUGGAAAAGCAAGAUGAGCAAUGCCUGGGAGAGAGGUGAUGCCACCAAGAGCACCUGGGUUUCUGGCUGCUCUCACCAGCUCCUGCUGCCAACCUGGAAGCACCGUGGAGGAUACAGGAAGACACAGAACAGGGUGUGGAAGUGACCUUAUCACAUUUGCUUCUUUUCUGAUUUGCAUUUGCUGCCUGUCAGCUUUAAGCUACAUCCCAGGGGCUGGGUAGGGUGAGGGCAGAGCUGCAGUGCCUGCUCCCUCCUGCCUCCCUGUGAGGCAGUUCCCUCCCAGGUGUUUUAUACCCAUGAAGUGCUGCCAAGGGAUCACCAUGGGGCUUAGCAUAGAGCUCACAUUGAUGAUAUCUUACCGUCAAUUGUACUGUGUUUUUAUCUGUGCACUUUUCUUUCCAGGCCACAACUGCAGUAACUUCACAGCUGAUUCUGAACCAGGGUUUUCAUGAAGCUUCACACACCUAUUUCUGGCCAUGUUUUUAAUUUGUAUUUUUAAAUUUAUUAUUAUUAUUAUUAUUAUUAGCCUUAGUGAGAACUGGUGGGAGAUGUGCAGCUAUGACUAGUGAGUAAAUCCACUCAACAUGUAGCCUUCUGCUGGCAAAUGCACAUAGUCUGGGUGUGCAGGAACUCUGGGAGGUAUCCCAGCCAUGUCUCUGUCCUGCAAUCAUCUGGAGAAGCCUCAUUGCAUUCACAAUGACUUUUUGCAGACUCUCACUGCCACAGCUGCGGUGUUUUUUAUGUUUAAGGGUGCUGUGAAGAUUGUCAUGCAAAUGCCUGACUUUCCGUACGAUCAGUGGAUGAAAAC
Long non-coding RNA from Coturnix japonica (Japanese quail), 1788 nucleotides. The record is from Ensembl. NCBI's taxonomy places the organism in Eukaryota, Metazoa, Chordata, Aves, Galliformes, Phasianidae.